RNAcentral lists this long non-coding RNA (935 nucleotides) under Triticum aestivum (bread wheat). RNAcentral describes it as "long non-coding RNA (TAES_LNC001216)". Lineage: Eukaryota; Viridiplantae; Streptophyta; Magnoliopsida; Poales; Poaceae. The record is from RNAcentral.
UAAAUGAACUUCAUUUAAAUAAGCUAAUGUUAAAUUUAUGUUACUUUUUAAACAUAUACGUCUGAGCUGAGCUGAAUUUGCCGAGGCUAGUGAACUCCAUAAUUAUUUUUCUCUAAUCAUUGUACGAACAAAAUAAACUACAGUCAACUUCUCGUUGAUCUCCAGGGGCUGCUGGAACGAAGAUGAGGAAUGAUCCGCGCAGUAUAGUCAAAUAGGGUCCCAAUCUUCUUACAGAACAAUCCCUAAAAACUGAAAAUAGAAAAGCAGUAUGGGAGAAAAAGAAAUUACUCCAGCAAAAAUACACAAAACAGUCAAAAAAUUUGAAAGUCCAUAAAUAUUACACAUGGAGCUUAACAUCCUUUUUCAGUCUAAAGAGAUCUCAUCAAGCACACCUACUGACACACUCAACCUGCAACUAAAUGAAUCAAACAAAACACAAAAAUCAAAUUAGUGUGCAUCCAAAUUUUAUAACUGGCCCACAUACUACAUAACAGUAACUGUUGUUCGUGCCAUUAAGCUUAAAUCAGCAGCACCAAUUUUGUUUGUCCAUAGAAGAAUUUUAGUAUGAAAUCAUGAAGAGUUCCAUACCCUGAUAGUGAAACGUAUGAACUCUAGAGAGUAACUAGAAGAGCGGCGACCCUAAACACAAUUUGAUGUCGGCCAACUCGAAGAUCUGCUCAACCUGGUCAGUGAACACCAUUACAAGCAGCAACAAGGAUGCAUACAUGGAUAAAAAAUGGUUCAUUAUAGCACAAACUAGCAGAAUUGCAAAACACUGUACACUAGCACAAGAUUUCUUCAGUAAAUUCUAGGGAGGAUUCCAGAGAUCAAUGUACUGAAUGCUGAUACCUGGUUUCAGUGUCUUAAGACUUGAGGUGUUGCAGGCGAGGUUCUAGAAGCCCUCUCGCUCCAAUGCAUCUGCAACCACUGUGGAC